CAGCCGCCGCGGGAAUACAGAGGGUGCGAGCGUUAAUCGGAUUUACUGGGCGUAAAGCGUGCGUAGGCGGCUUCUUAAGUCGGAUGUGAAAUCCCUGAGCUUAACUUAGGAAUUGCAUUCGAUACUGGGAAGCUAGAGUAUGGGAGAGGAUGGUAGAAUUCCAGGUGUAGCGGUGAAAUGCGUAGAGAUCUGGAGGAAUACCGAUGGCGAAAGCAGCCAUCUGGCCUAAUACUGACGCUGAGGUACGAAAGCAUGGGGAGCAAACAGGAUUAGAUACCCCCGUAGUCCCUGUCUCUUAUAC
RNAcentral lists this ribosomal RNA (301 nucleotides) under uncultured bacterium. RNAcentral describes it as "partial 16S ribosomal RNA". It matches the Rfam family "Bacterial small subunit ribosomal RNA", at positions 509 to 807 of the family's 1533-position model. The record is from RNAcentral.